CCUGGUGAUUAUGGAGAGAAGGCCAUACCCGUUCCCAUUCCGAACACGGAAGUCAAGCUUCUCAU
RNAcentral lists this ribosomal RNA (65 nucleotides) under Leptospira mtsangambouensis. Lineage: Bacteria; Pseudomonadati; Spirochaetota; Leptospiria; Leptospirales; Leptospiraceae. The record is from RNAcentral.